RNAcentral lists this ribosomal RNA (504 nucleotides) under uncultured Glomeraceae. Its description in RNAcentral is "eukaryotic LSU rRNA". It matches the Rfam family "Eukaryotic large subunit ribosomal RNA", at positions 268 to 633 of the family's 3401-position model. Lineage: Eukaryota; Fungi; Glomeromycota; Glomeromycetes; Glomerales; Glomeraceae. The record is from RNAcentral.
AGUUGUUUGGGAUUGCAGCUCAAAAUGGGAGGUAAAUUUCUCCUAAGGCUAAAUACAGGCGAGAGACCGAUAGCGAACAAGUACCGUGAGGGAAAGAUGAAAAGAACUUUGAAAAGAGAGUCAAACAGUACGUGAAAUUGUUGAAAGGGAAACGAUUAAAGUCAGUCGUACUGAUGGGGAAUCAACCUUUUGAGUGUGGAUUCGUGGGAUUCAGAGAGUCUUUGUCCUUGCGAUAUUCGCGUUUUUUUGGUGCACUUCCUCGUUUGUAGGUUAGCAUCGGUUUUGACCGUUAUAAAAUGAUCGGAGGGAUGUAGCUUCGAUUUCGAUUGAAGUGUUAUAACCUUUGGUAGCUGUAACUGUCGGGACCGAGGAUUGCAACGGAUACCCUAACGGGCUAUUCGUCUGAUCUCUGAUACGUCACUUUGGCGUCGAAAGCUUGCUUACGAUGUUGAAGGCGUCGGUCAAAAGGUAGAACGGAUUAAAUUCGUUAAGGAUGUUGACGUA